This 209-nucleotide ribosomal RNA is filed under the name uncultured bacterium. RNAcentral describes it as "partial 16S ribosomal RNA". It matches the Rfam family "Bacterial small subunit ribosomal RNA", at positions 1289 to 1500 of the family's 1533-position model. The record is from RNAcentral.
CAGUUCGGAUCGCAGGCUGCAACUCGCCUGCGUGAAGUUGGAAUUGCUAGUAAUCGCGGAUCAGCAUGCCGCGGUGAAUACGUUCCCGGGCCUUGUACACACCGCCCGUCACACCAUGGAGUUUGUAACACCCGAAGUCAGUAUCCUAACCGCAAGGGGAGCUGCCGAAGGUGGGAUAAGCGACUGGGGUGAAGUCGUAACAAGGUAUC